Molecule: transfer RNA, 75 nt
Filed under: Patescibacteria group bacterium
Lineage: Bacteria
Description: tRNA-Glu
Rfam family: tRNA
About the family: Transfer RNA (tRNA) molecules are approximately 80 nucleotides in length. Their secondary structure includes four short double-helical elements and three loops (D, anti-codon, and T loops). Further hydrogen bonds mediate the characteristic L-shaped molecular structure. tRNAs have two regions of fundamental functional importance: the anti-codon, which is responsible for specific mRNA codon recognition, and the 3' end, to which the tRNAs corresponding amino acid is attached (by aminoacyl-tRNA synthetases). tRNAs cope with the degeneracy of the genetic code in two manners: having more than one tRNA (with a specific anti-codon) for a particular amino acid; and 'wobble' base-pairing, i.e. permitting non-standard base-pairing at the 3rd anti-codon position.
Source: RNAcentral
GGCUCCAUCGUCUAACGGUUAGGACAGCGGCUUUUCAAGCCGUUAACAGGGGUUCGAUUCCCCUUGGAGCUACCA